Non-coding RNA from Camellia sinensis, 558 nucleotides. NCBI's taxonomy places the organism in Eukaryota, Viridiplantae, Streptophyta, Magnoliopsida, Ericales, Theaceae. The record is from RefSeq and is a predicted model, not a curated record.
AAUAAAUAAAUAAAUACCUCUUUUGACUAUAUCUCACCUCUUUACGCUCUAUCUAUUCCUUUCCUCACCAGCCACUCUCUAGUCUCUGUACCCUUCUCUCUCUCUCUCUUCUUUCGGACUCUCUCGAUCUCUUUCUUCGGACGAUAACAAUCUCAAAAAUGGGUGGAAGUUCAAACGAUGAUGAUUGGAAUUCACUUCCCCUUCAAAUGGGGUUCAAACUGUGGUUUUGGUUGGACGUACAGGAAAUGGAAAAAGUUCAACAGGCAAUAGCAUUCUUGGAAGAAAGGCAUUUAAGUCAAGGGCUAGCUCAGCUGGUGUUACCAGUACUUGUGAGCUGAACAGAACUGUAUUGACAGAUGGCCAGAUUCUUAAUGUUAUUGACCACUCCCGGAUUAUUUGAUUUUUCUGCUGAGUCUGAAUUUAUUUGGAAAAGAAAUUGUCAAAUGCAUCAAUAUGGCCAAGGAUGGCAUCCAUGCAGUUCUUGUAGUUUUCUCAGUCAGGUCCCGCUUUUUCGAAAGAAGAAGAAGCUGCCCUUCAUAGCUUGCAGACUUGGUUUGG